Molecule: ribosomal RNA, 3022 nt
Filed under: Staphylococcus aureus
Lineage: Bacteria; Bacillati; Bacillota; Bacilli; Caryophanales; Staphylococcaceae
Description: 23S ribosomal RNA
Rfam family: Bacterial large subunit ribosomal RNA
Source: RNAcentral
GAUUAAGUUAUUAAGGGCGCACGGUGGAUGCCUUGGCACUAGAAGCCGAUGAAGGACGUUACUAACGACGAUAUGCUUUGGGGAGCUGUAAGUAAGCUUUGAUCCAGAGAUUUCCGAAUGGGGAAACCCAGCAUGAGUUAUGUCAUGUUAUCGAUAUGUGAAUACAUAGCAUAUCAGAAGGCACACCCGGAGAACUGAAACAUCUUAGUACCCGGAGGAAGAGAAAGAAAAUUCGAUUCCCUUAGUAGCGGCGAGCGAAACGGGAAGAGCCCAAACCAACAAGCUUGCUUGUUGGGGUUGUAGGACACUCUAUACGGAGUUACAAAGGACGACAUUAGACGAAUCAUCUGGAAAGAUGAAUCAAAGAAGGUAAUAAUCCUGUAGUCGAAAAUGUUGUCUCUCUUGAGUGGAUCCUGAGUACGACGGAGCACGUGAAAUUCCGUCGGAAUCUGGGAGGACCAUCUCCUAAGGCUAAAUACUCUCUAGUGACCGAUAGUGAACCAGUACCGUGAGGGAAAGGUGAAAAGCACCCCGGAAGGGGAGUGAAAUAGAACCUGAAACCGUGUGCUUACAAGUAGUCAGAGCCCGUUAAUGGGUGAUGGCGUGCCUUUUGUAGAAUGAACCGGCGAGUUACGAUUUGAUGCAAGGUUAAGCAGUAAAUGUGGAGCCGUAGCGAAAGCGAGUCUGAAUAGGGCGUUUAGUAUUUGGUCGUAGACCCGAAACCAGGUGAUCUACCCUUGGUCAGGUUGAAGUUCAGGUAACACUGAAUGGAGGACCGAACCGACUUACGUUGAAAAGUGAGCGGAUGAACUGAGGGUAGCGGAGAAAUUCCAAUCGAACCUGGAGAUAGCUGGUUCUCUCCGAAAUAGCUUUAGGGCUAGCCUCAAGUGAUGAUUAUUGGAGGUAGAGCACUGUUUGGACGAGGGGCCCCUCUCGGGUUACCGAAUUCAGACAAACUCCGAAUGCCAAUUAAUUUAACUUGGGAGUCAGAACAUGGGUGAUAAGGUCCGUGUUCGAAAGGGAAACAGCCCAGACCACCAGCUAAGGUCCCAAAAUAUAUGUUAAGUGGAAAAGGAUGUGGCGUUGCCCAGACAACUAGGAUGUUGGCUUAGAAGCAGCCAUCAUUUAAAGAGUGCGUAAUAGCUCACUAGUCGAGUGACACUGCGCCGAAAAUGUACCGGGGCUAAACAUAUUACCGAAGCUGUGGAUUGUCCUUUGGACAAUGGUAGGAGAGCGUUCUAAGGGCGUUGAAGCAUGAUCGUAAGGACAUGUGGAGCGCUUAGAAGUGAGAAUGCCGGUGUGAGUAGCGAAAGACGGGUGAGAAUCCCGUCCACCGAUUGACUAAGGUUUCCAGAGGAAGGCUCGUCCGCUCUGGGUUAGUCGGGUCCUAAGCUGAGGCCGACAGGCGUAGGCGAUGGAUAACAGGUUGAUAUUCCUGUACCACCUAUAAUCGUUUUAAUCGAUGGGGGGACGCAGUAGGAUAGGCGAAGCGUGCGAUUGGAUUGCACGUCUAAGCAGUAAGGCUGAGUAUUAGGCAAAUCCGGUACUCGUUAAGGCUGAGCUGUGAUGGGGAGAAGACAUUGAGUNNNNNNNNNNNNNNNNNNNNNNNNNNNNNNNNNNNNNNNNNNNNNNNNNNNNNNNNNNNNNNNNNNNNNNNNNNNNNNNNNNNNNNNNNNNNNNNGAGUCUUCGAGUCGUUGAUUUCACACUGCCGAGAAAAGCCUCUAGAUAGAAAAUAGGUGCCCGUACCGCAAACCGACACAGGUAGUCAAGAUGAGAAUUCUAAGGUGAGCGAGCGAACUCUCGUUAAGGAACUCGGCAAAAUGACCCCGUAACUUCGGGAGAAGGGGUGCUCUUUAGGGUUAACGCCCAGAAGAGCCGCAGUGAAUAGGCCCAAGCGACUGUUUAUCAAAAACACAGGUCUCUGCUAAACCGUAAGGUGAUGUAUAGGGGCUGACGCCUGCCCGGUGCUGGAAGGUUAAGAGGAGUGGUUAGCUUCUGCGAAGCUACGAAUCGAAGCCCCAGUAAACGGCGGCCGUAACUAUAACGGUCCUAAGGUAGCGAAAUUCCUUGUCGGGUAAGUUCCGACCCGCACGAAAGGCGUAACGAUUUGGGCACUGUCUCAACGAGAGACUCGGUGAAAUCAUAGUACCUGUGAAGAUGCAGGUUACCCGCGACAGGACGGAAAGACCCCGUGGAGCUUUACUGUAGCCUGAUAUUGAAAUUCGGCACAGCUUGUACAGGAUAGGUAGGAGCCUUUGAAACGUGAGCGCUAGCUUACGUGGAGGCGCUGGUGGGAUACUACCCUAGCUGUGUUGGCUUUCUAACCCGCACCACUUAUCGUGGUGGGAGACAGUGUCAGGCGGGCAGUUUGACUGGGGCGGUCGCCUCCUAAAAGGUAACGGAGGCGCUCAAAGGUUCCCUCAGAAUGGUUGGAAAUCAUUCAUAGAGUGUAAAGGCAUAAGGGAGCUUGACUGCGAGACCUACAAGUCGAGCAGGGUCGAAAGACGGACUUAGUGAUCCGGUGGUUCCGCAUGGAAGGGCCAUCGCUCAACGGAUAAAAGCUACCCCGGGGAUAACAGGCUUAUCUCCCCCAAGAGUUCACAUCGACGGGGAGGUUUGGCACCUCGAUGUCGGCUCAUCGCAUCCUGGGGCUGUAGUCGGUCCCAAGGGUUGGGCUGUUCGCCCAUUAAAGCGGUACGCGAGCUGGGUUCAGAACGUCGUGAGACAGUUCGGUCCCUAUCCGUCGUGGGCGUAGGAAAUUUGAGAGGAGCUGUCCUUAGUACGAGAGGACCGGGAUGGACAUACCUCUGGUGUACCAGUUGUCGUGCCAACGGCAUAGCUGGGUAGCUAUGUGUGGACGGGAUAAGUGCUGAAAGCAUCUAAGCAUGAAGCCCCCCUCAAGAUGAGAUUUCCCAACUUCGGUUAUAAGAUCCCUCAAAGAUGAUGAGGUUAAUAGGUUCGAGGUGGAAGCAUGGUGACAUGUGGAGCUGACGAAUACUAAUCGAUCGAAGACUUAAUCAA